Molecule: ribosomal RNA, 408 nt
Filed under: uncultured bacterium
Lineage: Bacteria
Description: bacterial SSU rRNA
Rfam family: Bacterial small subunit ribosomal RNA
Source: RNAcentral
UAGGGAAUCUUGCGCAAUGGGCGAAAGCCUGACGCAGCGACGCCGCGUGCGGGACGAAGGCCCUCGGGUUGUAAACCGCUUUCAGCAGGGACGAAGCGAAAGUGACGGUACCUGCAGAAGAAGGUCCGGCCAACUACGUGCCAGCAGCCGCGGUAAUACGUAGGGACCGAGCGUUGUCCGGAUUCAUUGGGCGUAAAGAGCUCGUAGGCGGCUGCUCAAGUCGAAUGUGAAAACUCGAGGCUCAACCUCGAGCCUGCAUUCGAUACUGGGCGGCUAGAGUCUGGUAGGGGGAUCUGGAAUUCCUGGUGUAGCGGUGGAAUGCGCAGAUAUCAGGAGGAACACCGGUGGCGAAGGCGGGAUCCUGGGCCAGUACUGACGCUGAGGAGCGAAAGCGUGGGGAGCAAACAG